Molecule: ribosomal RNA, 253 nt
Filed under: uncultured bacterium
Lineage: Bacteria
Description: partial 16S ribosomal RNA
Rfam family: Bacterial small subunit ribosomal RNA
Source: RNAcentral
UACGUAGGGAGCAAGCGUUGUCCGGAAUCAUUGGGCGUAAAGCGCGCGUAGGCGGCCUCGUAAGUCCGUUGUGAAAGUCAAAGGCUCAACCUUUGAAAGCCGAUGGAUACUGUGAGGCUAGAGUCCGGAAGAGGCGAGUGGAAUUCCUGGUGUAGCGGUGGAAUGCGCAGAUAUCAGGAGGAACACCAACAGCGAAGGCAGCUCGCUGGGACGGUACUGACGCUAAGGCGCGAAAGCGUGGGGAGCGAACAGG